CCUACGGGAGGCAGCAGUGAGGAAUAUUGGUCAAUGGCCGGAAGGCUGAACCAGCCAUGCCGCGUGCAGGUCAGUGCCCUUUGGGCGUUAAACUUCUUUUGUGCGGGAGCAAUACUGGUCACGUGUGGCCAGACGAGAGUUCCGUACGAAUAAGCAUCGGCUAACUCCGUGCCAGCAGCCGCGGUAAUACGGGGGGUGCAAGCGGUAUCCGGCAUUAUUGGGUGGAAAGGGUGCGUAGGCUGUGAGGUAAGUCAGCGGUGAAAUGCCCCGGCUCAACGGGGUGAAGUGCCAUUGAUACUGCCUGGCUGGAAUGCGGAGGCGGUGGGAGGAAUGUGUGGUGUAGCGGUGAAAUGCAUAGAUAUCACACAGAACACCGAUUGCGAAGGCAUCUCACGAAUCCGCGAUUGACGCUGAUGCACGAAAGCGUGGGUAGCAAACAGGAUUAGAUACCCGGGUAGUC
RNAcentral lists this ribosomal RNA (460 nucleotides) under uncultured bacterium. Its description in RNAcentral is "partial 16S ribosomal RNA". It matches the Rfam family "Bacterial small subunit ribosomal RNA", at positions 338 to 795 of the family's 1533-position model. The record is from RNAcentral.